AUGCGGCGCGCGUACGCUCUGGUUCCUCCGCGCCGUCCGCACCCACCCGAGGACGGCGCGCUACGUUGCCAGCC
RNAcentral lists this small RNA (74 nucleotides) under Xanthomonas floridensis. Its description in RNAcentral is "sX9 sRNA". It matches the Rfam family "Xanthomonas sRNA sX9". The record is from RNAcentral. Lineage: Bacteria; Pseudomonadati; Pseudomonadota; Gammaproteobacteria; Lysobacterales; Lysobacteraceae.